RNAcentral lists this long non-coding RNA (6367 nucleotides) under Fragaria vesca (wild strawberry). RNAcentral describes it as "long non-coding RNA (FVES_LNC003123)". The record is from RNAcentral. Lineage: Eukaryota; Viridiplantae; Streptophyta; Magnoliopsida; Rosales; Rosaceae.
CCUUCUCUAUUAAACAACCCGCCAAAGGAAGAGAUCAUAAUAAUCAGGAACUAUGAAAGCAAUAUACACUUGACUCUAGAAUAACUUCACAAAAAAUCAUGUGUGAAAGAGGAGAUUGAGAGGCAAUAUAACUUCACUUACUCGAGCAUUAGAAACACCUGAGCGAGGGCUACACCGUAUUUGCAAAGUAUUCAGAUUAGGCAUUUCUCUAAGAAGAGAGACCAUUGCAGGAACAAUGUCAACACUCAAGUUCUUAAGUUCCACACUGAAGCAACAAAGAUCAUCUAAUGGUGUGGGAAAUAUAUAUUCCCUCGACGACAAAACCUGCAUGUUCGAAGGAAAAGCAUUUAACAAUAAAUAUGGACCCUCUAAUGUUUAAUUAAGCUAUAUAAAGUCAGAAUUUGAUUAUAAAUUAAACUUACACUAACAUAUCAAAAUUAAAAUCUUCUCUCUCCCUCUCUCCUUUUUUCUUAUAAUUAUGCAAGUAUCAGCUUAAACACUCCAUUAACAGACAUGGCAUUUCAAAAGAACAUUGUGCCUAAAUAUCAGUCUACAUAACUACAUUAGUUAAUUGAAACAUGUUUUCAUAAAAUAUUCCAGAAAAGAUAUGAGAUCAAUUGGAAAAACAAGUCAAAUAGUCUCACCAGCACUGUAUCUUUACCUUAAUUGACACGACCCACCCCGAAUUUCACCCUGAAACCCAGAAUAAGUCGUGCGGGGACCACCUCCAAGGAAAAUUUACUGAAAAGAUUAAGAAAAUCUCCCUUGUAGAUGGACAACCCUAACUCGAAAAUUUCAUAUUACACUUCUGAACAUCACAUAAUAUACAAAAAUUCUAAAGUAUUCAGAGCUACUAAACACAAGCGGAAGCAAGAAAACACAAGUAGGUGAACAGGUAACCUACUAGAUUAGAAAACUGGACCGAAAAGCGGNNNNNNNNNNNNNNNNNNNNGAAGAAGAAAAGUGGAGGGAAAGUUUUGGCGGAAUGAUUCAAAAUUCAAAAUUUUUGGCGGAAAUGACCUAUGCGACGAAAUAAAAAUUUUCAUCGCAUGAGUGAGAACUAAUGCAAUGAAAAAAAAAUUUCGUCGCAUUAGUCACAACUUAUGCGACGAAAUAAAAUUUUCGUCGUAUGAAUCCGAACUUAUGCGACGAAACAUGUUUCGUCUCAUAAACUCUCACUUAAGAGACGAAAUUUUUCAAUUUCGUCGUUUAAGUACUCACUUAAGAGAGGAACCCAGUUUCAUCUCAUAAGUGAUCACUUAAGAGAAGAAAUUUUUCAAUUUCGUCGCUUUAAUACUCACUUAAGAGAGGAAACCAGUUUCGUCUCAUAAGUGCUCACUUAAGUUACUUAAGCGACGAAUUUGAAAAAUUUCGUCUCUUAAGCCUUUUUUCCUAGUAGUGAGUAAGCUAGCCCAAGCAGCAAUGAAAGUGUAGUCGGUAGUUGGAAAAGUGUAGUCGGUAGUUGGAAACUACCUUCCCCGCCCAUAGACCAGUCAGGAAACUUGUAGACCGACAUCCGAGCUACCUCGCCAUGGUGAAAGAUCAUUCGUGUCACAUCGGGAAGGUGCUCACCCAAGCUCCAUAAAAAAGCACAAUGAUAAGUUAUAUGUGUAGUUAGUCCCACAUCGGAAAGAUAAUUUGUGAGGGAACCUUCCUUAGUUAUAAAAGGAAGGUUUCCCAUAUGUAGGAAGCUCUCUCUAACUAUCUGAUCUGAUAAUGAUCUCUCUCCCGAUCCCAAAGGCAUAUUGGCCAUGAUAGUUGAUUCUAGCCAUGUCCUCCGAUGGCAUGGUGAACCACUAUAUGUCAUUGUCUCUUGCCCAUGUUGUUUAUUGUUCGUGUUUGUGUUCCACCGUGAUUCUAUAUAGUCCCUAGGAUUAUGCAGAAACAUUUGACGCCGUCUGUAGGAAUCAGUACAAAAAGUCUUGAUGCUCUACCGGGAGGCUCAUGCAUGAAAGUCAGUUGGUGGUAUCCAGUAUGCAGGCCUAAGCCAUCACAGGCCCAACCCAUCACCUAUGCAGGCCCAAGUCACCGAGAGACAUGACCCAUCCUGCCCAGGUUCUCUUUUAACAUCAGGACAUCAUCAAGAGCCAUCCUGCCCGGGUUCUCUUAUCAUGAUGACCUGCCAAACCUCCCGCUCGGGUCCAUGACUGGCGCUUCCAGCCAUCACCCGGAGAGGAUUCAACGGGACCCGGAGACUAGUCAUGUCGGCCGGGAGCUUCGCCGUUGACGGCCGGCUCCUCCCGCUGCCCCGGUCAUCUUCUUCUCCUGGAUGGCACCUCUCCCGGGACCCGGAGCUCAGUCAUGUCGGUCGGGAGCUUCGCCGGCGACGGUCUACUCCUCCCGCUGCCCGGUCGUCUUCUUCUCCCGGGUCCGACAGCAGCUAAGCAGAAGCGUCCGGGAUUGGUGUUCUGCCAAUCCAGGGCCAGGUCCGGUGCGUCUCCCGGUGGUUCCUCUCCCGGGUCCAGCAGCAGCCAGCCUCCCGGUGACCUUGCAUCAAGCUCGUCAACAGCUAGCCUCCCGUUCUCCGGCUAAGGAAGGAAGAGGAAGUCGGUCUGGACACCCGUGAUUCCACUAUGGGCACCCAGCUCACAGCUUUCGGGAGCCUAGAGAGAAGAAAAAAGAAAGAGAAGGGGAAGAAAGGAAGAUGAAAAAAAAAGAGGAAGGGGGGUCUCGUUCUUACCGGUUUAAAAAAAAAAAAAAAAAAAAAGAAAGGAAAAGCUAUGGACACCCAUAGACGCCGGAGCUAUUUAAUUCUUUGGUCACGAGCUGGAUAUGCCGUAGCAAUGCGAACAGCCGAUUAUUACUCAUCGGAUCUCGGUGACUCAAAAAAAAAAAAAGCAAAGGAGAGAGAAACUUAUACAACACAGGUAAGGCAAUAUGAUUCUAUUCUACGGGAUUCUAACAUAAAGUUGUUAACACUACUGAAUCCUCCUAUGUGCACCCAUUCAGCAGCUAUUUUCACAGAUAAGUCCCUACCUCGUUGGUUUGUGAAAGUUCAUAAUAUUGAUGCCAUGAUUUCGUCCUAGUUGCAAGUCAACCUGUAUGUAUAUGAGUAUGCAUGCUAGUCAGUAGGUUUUGGCAUUAGACCUAGAGGCAUAAGUUAUUAAAAUCCCGAGUAAUAUCAAGCGGGAUAGGCAUUAGACCGAGAGGCAUAAGUCAUUAACAUCCCGAAUAAUAUCAAGCGGGAUAGGCAUUUGACAGAGAGAUUGGCAUUUGACAUUCAGUAUUACACAAUUGCAUGAAUCAAUACUUGGUUGGCCCCAUAAUUGUGUUGAUCAACUAAACUAUGUAAGCUGCUAAUCGCUCAUUUGUUAUGAAGGUACAAAAAUCCUCGCCCGGCCGAAUAAGUUUUGAGGCCGGGAGUCGGGAGGGGCAUUUUUUUGUCUUAUCGGCGGACUUGGGGGGACUGGGGCCGGGUGCCCGUUAAUAAAUGACUAGUCUAUGGGCAUUUUAUAUAUCAAGUCCCCACUCAAGACGCGUCUUGAACGGGAACUUGGGGGGACUUGUAGUCGGACUGAGAAUAACUACCCUCAGUAAUUACAUUCAACCACAAAAUACUGACUUAAGUUUCAGAAAAGGAAAGACCGGAAGCCCCCGGUCCCCUUGUUAUUGCAGGUCAGCGAGGAGAUAGCAGAUCAUCCACCAGACACACCAUCAGCUUCUGCGAACCCGUCCGGGAUUGUACAGAAACAGAAAACAAGGAGCCAGCUUAUUGUACUUCCUAUAUAUCUUCGAGUAGUGCCACAGUAUAACACCUGAAAACAAAAAUAAUGAACACAGAUAUAUCAAUCAAGACCACUUCUGAUAUAAUUAAGGUGAACAUGAAAAUGAUAAUAAUUAGAAAAUUAGUAUAAGCACUUCAGUGAAUAUUGUUCCCUCAAAUCAAACUGGACUUCAAAUAUACCACAGAAAAAAAAGGAUUCAGUGGCAUGAAACAAGAUACAGCCACCCCACAAUUACAACUGCAUGUAUCAAUAAAUUGACAAUUCUUGCAUACCAACAGUAGUUAAGAGUAAAAUACAUCAAAGGUACUAUACUGGUGCAUACUUUCCGUAAAAACAUUGUAUUCACUUCUUUGCAUCCUAACAGGCUAGGCGAGUGCUUUUACCCAAUUUGCAAAACCUUUCAAAUUGAUAUGCUGCAGAGUUUGUAAUUUACUUGAACUCUGGAAUAAUAAUAAUGAAAGAUGACACGACCCACCCCGAAUUUCACCCUGAAACCCAGAGUAAGUCGUGCGGGGACCAUCUCCAAGGAAAAUUUACUGAAAAGAUUAAGCAAAUCUCCUUGCAGAUGGACAACCCUAAGUCGAAAAUUUCAUAUUACACUCUUAAUUUAACGCUUCUAAAUAUCACAUAAUAUACAAAAAUUCUAAAGUAUUCAGAGCUACUAAACACAAGCGGAAGCAAGAAAACACAAGUAGGUUGUACAGGUAACCUACUGAUGAAAACUGGCCGAAAAGCGGGUGACUAUGCCUCGUCUCCUACUAGAUCCAACCCGAACUCUGCAGACUGGGCAAUUUAAAACGAAGGGCCCAGGGGAAAACAUUUAAUAACGUUAGAGUGAGUGGACAAAAAUAAAUUAAUAAUUAAAAUAUUUAUGUUUCCCCAAAUUAAUUUCUAAGGAAAAAUCGAAUGCCUGCCGCAAGCGAUAAAACCUUUAUCCCAUAAAUAUCGAGCCUCUCAGACUCUAUAAUAUAUGUAUGUAUUUACAUCGUCCAUACUCCCUAUAUAAUUCAUGGGUCUAUAUAGGGCUACUACGCUCGCGUCCAACGCUCACGUCNCGCCUAAUGCGGUGCUACACUACGCCAUCAAGGUGGACAGACGGUGUAUUAAAUACUCGUCGACCCACUACCCCUAUAUGAAUUAAACACUCAUAGUAGGGCUACUACGCUUACGUCCAACGCUCACGUCACACCAUAAUGCGGCUAUAUGCUACGCCAUUAAGGUGGACAGACACAUAUGGCUAGCUAGCAUUUUCUAUACAUACUCUCUCAUAAAUACAUAUUUAUAUUCACCGAAAAUCCCAUUUUCGGUAACUCUCUCUCAGAGAAAUAAAAGCGUCAAAAUUAAUUGACGGUAAAACUCCAACAAAAGGAAAUGUUCAAUCAUGAACCAUAGCAUGCAUAUUACUUCAAAUAAAAGUCCACUCACGAAUUAGGCCUAAGCCUGAUGUCAAUCUGGGGUCUCGUCUACUCGAGCCUCUUCACGUCCUGUUCCAAAUAUAAUAUUAAUUUCCCAACCAAUAUCCAAUAUUUAAUCAAAAUAGGCAAAAUUACCCGAGAGCCAUAAUUACGCUCAUCAUUGCCUAACUUCGAUAUUCUUACAUCGGAAUAAUCCGAACUUAAAUAUCAUACUCAACAGUCGUAAAUACAACCUCUCUAAAAUACGACUUAAAUCCAACGGCCGGAUUCUACAUUAAUUAACCGCCAAAAAUACCAAACUUCGGAAAUUCACAAACCUAUCCAAAUCUCAUCCAAAAAUUCCAUAAUUCACUUCAAUAAUAUCCCCUUAAUAUUCUACAUCAAAAACCAUAAAAUUUCCCAAAACAGCGGCGGCUCCGCCGGCAGCGGCGGCCGGCGACCAACUCCGGCAACCUGCAAAUGCCACCAAAUUUUAACAGAAUCUUCCUCUCAAUCUCCUCUACAACUUUCAUGACCAACACAAACUCCAAUUCUAAGCCUAACCAUGUCAAUCGAACACAAACAACCAUAAAUCCCUAAAACUUUCAAUUAUACAAACCACCCUAACGAAAUCGAAUUAAGCCGAAACCUUUUGAGGGAUUACUCACCUAGAUGAGGGCUACAAGUUGAGCCAAAAAUCACGACCUAUGGUGGCCGGAGGACGGAGCUCCGGCGAAAACACAGUCGGCGGUUCCGGCGGCUUUUUCUCCUCUCCGGCGGGUUAGAGGCUCGGGGGCUAGGCCGGGGAGGGAGAGGAGGUGACGGGGGUCCGAUCUGGGCUGGAGCGGCGGCAGCUGGUGGCCGGACGGCGGCGGGAGGACGGCCGGAAGUCUGCUGGGUGUAGAGAGAAAAAACUCGGGUGGGAAGAGAAGAAAAAUCGGGAGGAAGAGAGAGAGAAAGGAAGAAGAAAUGGGUUGGGCUCGGCCCAGCCGACCCAACUCUCCUUUUAAUCCAAAAUUCAACACCCCGAAAAAUAAUACCCGAAUAAAAAUUACCUUUUACUAGCUAAAAUUUACUAUUUUUACCGUCGUCGUAUUUUCUUCAUACUAAUAAUCCUCCGCACAUAAUCGUCCCCGAAACCCCUCUAGGGACCAAUUAAACUAUUUACUCAAUGACGGAGACGGUAAAAUUCUUAUUAUAAUCACGCUAGUAAAUAAGGUAAAAAUAUAAGGGUCGGGAUGUGACAAA